Molecule: small nuclear RNA, 107 nt
Organism: Mustela putorius furo (domestic ferret)
Lineage: Eukaryota; Metazoa; Chordata; Mammalia; Carnivora; Mustelidae
Source: Ensembl
GUGCUCACUUCAGCAGCAUAUGUAGUCAAAUUGGAGCAAUACAGAGAAGAUUAGCAUGACCCCUGUGCAAGGAUGACAUGCAAAUCUGUGAAGUGUUCUAUAUGAAU